GUCCACAUAGUUUAUAUAAAACACCAGAUUGUGAUUCUGGAAAUAGAGUAUUUCUUGUGGACC
This 63-nucleotide transfer RNA is filed under the name Loxopholis percarinatum. RNAcentral's name for it is "tRNA-His". It matches the Rfam family "tRNA". From Rfam's summary of the family: Transfer RNA (tRNA) molecules are approximately 80 nucleotides in length. Their secondary structure includes four short double-helical elements and three loops (D, anti-codon, and T loops). Lineage: Eukaryota; Metazoa; Chordata; Lepidosauria; Squamata; Gymnophthalmidae. The record is from RNAcentral.